RNAcentral lists this ribosomal RNA (257 nucleotides) under uncultured prokaryote. RNAcentral's name for it is "partial 16S ribosomal RNA". It matches the Rfam family "Bacterial small subunit ribosomal RNA", at positions 524 to 780 of the family's 1533-position model. The record is from RNAcentral.
UACGUAGGGGCGAGCGUUGUCCGGAAUUAUUGGGCGUAAAGAGCUCGUAGGCGGCUCAGCAAGUCGGCUGUGAAAUCCCGAGGCUCAACCUCGGAACUGCAGUCGAUACUGCUGUGGCUAGAGUCUGGUAGAGGAGAAUGGAAUUCCCGGUGUAGCGGUGAAAUGCGCAGAUAUCGGGAGGAACACCAGUAGCGAAGGCGGUUCUCUGGGCCAGUACUGACGCUGAGGAGCGAAAGCGUGGGGAGCAAACAGGAUUA